Oryzias latipes (Japanese medaka) is the source of this 505-nucleotide long non-coding RNA. RefSeq lists it as uncharacterized. The record is from RefSeq and is a predicted model, not a curated record. Lineage: Eukaryota; Metazoa; Chordata; Actinopteri; Beloniformes; Adrianichthyidae.
UUGGUCACCUGUGUGCCAUGCUGCCAGUUUUGUGGAAACUGAGCUUCCUGCUUUUGGGUCCUUGGUGCCCCCCGUCACACCAUAAGGUUUAACAAAGCUGUCAGCUGAAGGAGCAGUGGGGUCAGGCUGUGCUGACACGGUCUUUGCUUAGUGGACUGAUGUAUCAAAUGAGAAUCGAGGAGGGAGGGUGUAAAGAAAUACAACUUCCUUAGAGCAACACACAGCAAAGGACUCGGUCCACCCUGAAGAGCUUCUGUGCAGAGAUAGAAAGUAUUUGAAAUAUAAAUAAUAACUUGCAACACACAGUAGAAAAAGAAGAAAAAGAAACCCCUCCCGACUGAACAUACAUGGCUGAACACACGUUCAAGAACCAGCGUUUAGCCCAUUCUCAAAAAAGGGUCAAAUGCCUGGUGUGUCUGUAGAUAUAGAGAUGAGACAUGAAGGACAUUCACUUAAAAUAAAUCAUGUUCCAUAACUGAAGAAGCCUCUCUACUUUCCCAACUCA